Molecule: ribosomal RNA, 301 nt
Filed under: uncultured bacterium
Lineage: Bacteria
Description: partial 16S ribosomal RNA
Rfam family: Bacterial small subunit ribosomal RNA
Source: RNAcentral
CAGUCGCCACGGUAAUGCGUAGGGUGCGAGCGUUAAUCGGAAUUACUGGGCGUAAAGCGUGCGCAGGCGGUUGUGUAAGACAGAUGUGAAAUCCCCGGGCUCAACCUGGGAACUGCAUUUGUGACUGGCAAGCUAGAGUGUGGCAGAGGGGGGUGGAAUUCCGCGUGUAGCAGUGAAAUGCGUAGAUAUGCGGAGGAACACCGAUGGCGAAGGCAGCCCCCUGGGCCAACACUGACGCUCAUGCACGAAAGCGUGGGGAGCAAACAGGAUUAGAUACCCCAGUAGUCCCUGUCUCUUAUAC